UUGGGAAGAGAAAAAUUAAAUAAGAGAAACAUACUGAAAGUUACGUCUCUGUCUCUACUCUCUGCUUGAGUGCUUCUUUUCCUAGAUCUAGAUCUGAAAAUUGAGACUUUGAGACCAGAGAGUCUAAGAGAGUCAGAGACUGAGACAAAGAGACGACGACGACUCACGACUGAGAUAGAGAUGACGACGAUCGAUCGAUCGACCACGCCGACUGUGAAGUAGUGAAGCUUCUUCUCUUCGUCCCGAAUCCACGCCGAGUCGCCGACUGUGAAGCUUCUUCUUCUCUUCGAUAGUUCGAUCUAUCGACCACGAGGUCCACGACGACUGAGAAGGUUUGAUUUUUUUCCUUUAUAUGAUUUUUCUGGUCAUUAUAUAAUAUAUCUCAGUGACUCAGUGUCAUUUUUUCCUUUAUAUUUUUUCAUUUUUUUUGAAAGAAAAAAAUAAUGUUUAUUGAUUUCUAAUAUGUGAAAAAAAUAUGUUAGACAACCUUUCCCCCCUUUCUAUGUGGAUUUAUCACUGGAGUGAAACUAGCUUUCUGUAAAACUUUUUCUGGAAAUGUUUAUUGAUUUCUAAUAUGAUUUAUUGAUUUUUGGAUGUCAUAGACUCAGAAAUCUGUCUUCUUAUUUUUGGCCUGUUUCUAGUUCAUUAUAGUUAACUUCUUAAUUAAGAUGCCUUCAUAAUCAUACAUAUAUGCAUAAAUGUAUGUAUUGUUUUCUUUAAACUCCAAUCUGGAAGUUGAGAUUACUUGAUUGAGUCAAAAAGGGAGAGUGUUCUUUUAUAUCUCCGACGAACGGAUCAUUACAUACAUUUCAUUUGUCAAAGUAUUAAUCAUAACAGUUUUACUUUUCAAAAAGAUAAUUAAGUGGGUUUGUCUGUUUGAUAAAUUGUCAAUUCCAUAUCUCUGUGUGAUUUGUUUUCAUUUUCAGGCAUAGUUAAGUUGAGUUGUAUAUCUCUGUAUGUGAUUUAGCUGGUUAGAAAGUGAUACUCGCUGUUAUUUGCUUUACUGCUAGCUAAUAUAUUUCAGUGUUUUAUAUUCCUCCCAUCAUUCAUCAUUGUAAGUGUAAUCUUCAAUUGCAUCCUAAUUUAGUUACUUUUUUAAUAACUCUCAUUAGUCAUUUGAGAUAAAAGUAUAAACUACAUAAUAGUUCAUAUAACUCAUCAUUUAUGCUAAAGGCUAGCUGAUUUGGUAGAAAGGAAUGUGUUUUAGGUACUAAAUGGAUGAAUCAAUUAUAAGAUAGUCCAUAUAUAAUGCACAUUUAUAAAUCUUUUUGUACAGGAUGUCAAGUCAUUCUUUCACUAGCAGAUGGGAUUGAUGAAUCUUAUUUCUGUUGAUGCCUUGAUGAGUUGAUAGUGACAUACUGACAUGUCAAAUGAAAUCAAUAUUCUUGCUGAGUUGUUGUUUUAAUAUUUGAAUGUGUACUUUAUCAUUUAUCAAUCAUUGUAUGUAAAUUAUAAUAUGUUACAACAACUUUUCUGGCCUUUAAUUAAGUGGAGACAGGACUGAAUGAUUGAUUAUAAUUAAAAUAUUAUUGUGAAUUUGUGAUGUACAACACAUGAUUUAAAAAAAAGAAAUGAAAAAGCCCGCGGACCGGGUCGGGCCGGCCCCACCCGGGCCACGAGCUGCUUAAUUUCAGCCCACUAAAAUCAGGGCCAUUUUGGCCCGGUCCGUUUGCCAGAUCUAAUUAUCACCAGACAUCCGGACACUCUACAAAAGACUGUAGGGAUUUGAAGGACCUAAUUGAGAAGAAUGUUUAGAGUACAGAAUUAGUUUAGUACGUCGUGGACAAGAAGGUUCAAGAAGGGGGCAGAAUAAUACCAGUCAUGAGUAGAACCCUCAACCAUAACCAGUGCAAACAGUUCGACGAGUGGUGGACGUGAUAACAUGUGGCUUGGUCUGGAGUGCUAUUAAACCAUCGGAACCUAUUAAACUGCAUGAUGGAGUGUUGGUAAUCAUUACACGGGUUGGAUCGGUGGACAUGAAGAGGAUCAUGGUUGAUAACGGUUCAUCGAUCGAUAUAUUGUUCCUUCAUGCGUAACAAAUGAUGGAUUUGGAGGGAAGGAAGAUGGAGAUUGGGCAGGAGCCCCCACUAUACGGAUUUAGCAACAACCCAGUUUGAGUAGCAGGUGUAAUCGAAUUAUCGGUCAUCUUCGGGACAACUCCUCUACAAAUGGAAGUGAUCUGCAAAUUUUUCAUGGUACAUGUGGAUUCGUCGUAUAAUGUCAUACUCGGGAGAUUGACAUUAAUGGCUCUACAGGCGAUGACUUCCAUACCCCAUUUUAAAAUAAAGUUCUCUACACCAAACGACGUCGAUGAAGUCGUUGGAGAUCUUGACUUAGCAAGGAGAUGUUAUCAGAACGCUUUAGUCUCUUCGAGACUAUAGGUUAACAUGCAAAGGGAUCAAACCAAGGAGGUUCGAGUUUGAAGUGUCGAAGUCAGGAACUUAUCGAUUUUGAGUAAUGGAUUGUACAAAAGUCAAAAACACUAAGCAUGUUGGGAUUAUCAAGUUUUUUUCUUUUAUGACUGUAAAAUUUUUCAAGUUAUUAAUUGGAAUGAGCAUUCAAUUUUGUCAAAUGAUAGUUUUUGUCCAUAGUUAAUGUUUUGUGUAUCGAAUGUAUAAGGUCGGAUAACGGUAUAAGGUCGGAUGGAAGCUCGCAUAGGGGUCAGAAAGUUUAUUAUGAUAUAGAGAACGCAUAACAUCCUUCGGGAUGGAUCAAUGUUGUGAGACCCCAGAUUUUAUGAAUAAAUAUUUAAUUUUCUCGAAAUAUUUUUUUUAAUAUUAUGGUGUGGAUUUAAUAUAAUGUUAUAAUUGUGGAUAAUAUUUAUAAAUUUUGCAAGGUAUACAAGUUGUUAUAUUAUAUUCGAUUGGUCAGGGAAUAUUCUUUGUGUCGGAGAAUAUUCGUACGACGACACAAUCAUUGGUGGACCCCACAACGGAAUUAUUGUUGGAUUGAGAAAACAACAAAAAUAUUUUUAUGAAAAUAACGGCGGAAGUUUUACCGUUAAUACUGUUGAACUACUCGGUAGUAAAAGUACAGUAAUACGCGUGGUUGCAUAAUAACACACGGUAUUGAUUAUUGAUGCUUACGUGAAAAGUCAUUCAGUUUUGUUCAAUUAUUGCUAUAGUAAUUGUUGCAUAGUAUCUCACGUUAUUUGAUUCAAUUAUUGUCGAUAUUUAUUAUUUUGUUAAAAUCAAUAAUUGAGACGACAAAGUUAUUAAUAUUAUUAUUUGCAAUAUUAACGAUGUCUAGAAGUUCUGUCAAGGAGAGGUUAGAUAAUCUAAUUGCGCGCUAAUAGGGAGAAAUUCUUAUUGAAAAGCCCCCUCUUUCCUAGGAACGACCUGGUCGAUUAAUAUUGUGAAUUAUAAUAAAGAUGAUAAAUGUUGUUAAAAUUAUUAAGGUGAUUUUUAUGAAGAUUUGCUUAUUUUAUGGACCCCUAUUUACCCAUUUUUUAAAAUAUUCGAUAUAAAAUUUUUAUAAAGGUGGGGCCCAUUUGUGUUGGAAAAAUAAUUUUGGAAAUAGAAGAGUAUACGUACGGAAGUAUAUGUAUAUAUUGAGUGUAUGGUGGGAGAAAAUGAUAUGUGAAAGUGAUAGGUGUGUGAUGUGUGUGUGAGUGGAAAAUAGUGAAAAAGUGAUAGUGUGAUAGUGAUGUGUAAGAGUGUAGUGAAAUUAAUUUUUGGGUGGGUGGGGGAUUGAUGUUGGUUAUGGGGGAGAAAAAUUAAGUAGUAGAUAUUAUAUAUAUAUAUAUAUAUAUAUUUAUUUAGCAUGUGUUUAUAAAUAUAUGUCUUAUAUUUUAAUUUUUGCUUGGAUCCUAUUGGUUAGUUGAUAGACAUUUGCAUUGGUAUGAUAUCAAAACCUUGAUACGUAAGUCUGCAAAAUUAUUUCAUCCAUGCACAGUGCACUUCCAUUCUCCUAUAAAUAGAAGUUCAUUCCUUCAUUAUUUCUUACAAAUUCACUGAAACUCUAGAGAGAGAAAAUUAUAGAAAGAAAGAAGAAAAGUUUUCUGCUACUUAACUACUCUUAUAUUCAGUUCUUUUACGGUAAGGGGUGUUAUUUCUUUUGUAUUCAAGAAGAGAACUUCUGUUAUUCCAUUUCUUUAUUGUUCUGUUGGAAUAACCUGUAUACGCGGACUACCUUAUACUUGGUGACAUUCUUCUAUUAUUCUGUCUUUAUUAAUUUGUUGGAAUAUCCUAUCUGUGUGUUUUACACCGGACCUGGUCCCUUUAUUUAUUAUUCCGUCUUUAUUAUUCUGUCGGAAUAUCCUGUCUGUGCGUUUUACGCCUGACCUGGUUCCAUUAUUUAUUAUUCCGCACUUAUUAUUCUGUUGGAACAUCCUGUCGGUGUGAAUUUCACCUGACCUGGUUCCGUUAUUACUAUUCUGUUGGAAUAACCUGUCUAUGCGAAGUACCGCAUGCAUGGUGAUUUCUUUUGUUAUUCCAUUCGUUAUUAUACUCAGUUGGUUAAAAUUUUGACUUCUAUACUCCAUGAAAUUAGUGGAAUAUCCUUGAUAUUUGCGCUUCAUCNNNNNNNNNNNNNNNNNNNNNNNNNNNNNNNNNNNNNNNNNNNNNNNNNNNNNNNNNNNNNNNNNNNNNNNNNNNNNNNNNNNNNNNNNNNNNNNNNNNNNNNNNNNNNNNNNNNNNNNNNNNNNNNNNNNNNNNNNNNNNNNNNNNNNNNNNUUCUCUUCAGGAAAUGAGAACGUAGCUGGGACGAGUCGGGGAAUGGAGUGAUGGUCCGGAUGAUAGUAUUAGCUAGUAGUCCUCACUAUUCUGUUAAAUAGUGUGACAAUAAAUGUAAUGAGGACUUAUUCUGAGAGUGGAUAUUGUCUAGAAGACAAUAUUUGUAUUUAAACUCACAGAUCUCUUGUUGUAUAAUUAAGAUUGUAUUUUUAUUCUGUAUCAUGUAUUUGACGACUCAGAAUAGGUGAUGUAUUCCUAUUUUGGGGGCGUCACAAGUGUCCUCCCAAAUGGAUGACAUCCUUUGAGACGGACCAACGUUCUCCGGAACGGAUGACAUCCUUCGAGACGAACCAACGUCCUCCCGAAUGAAUAACUUUCUUUGGGACUAACCAGCAUCCUCCCGAACUUAUAACUUCGGUUAAAGUUUUCCAUGACUAAUUGAUUUACUCUCUUAGUGUAAGUUCCUUAUAAACAAGAGAGUGGGGGACAAUGUUUUGGCGUGAAUAUUUGGGUCUGGAUGAUACGAUGGGCCAUAGUCCACGUGAAGGAAUUUUUCCACGUGGUAAUUCCUUUGGGCAGUUGAGUAUUUUAAAGAAUCUAAGAUUCUUUAAUUGUAUUUAAAUUCUAACUCUUAAGAAAAAUGUCAGGAUAUGAUUUUAUUUCCUUUGCUUAAGAAGAUUGGGGUUAAUAUCAUUAAGGUACCUACUUAAUGAGGAAUUUUAUACG
This 5399-nucleotide long non-coding RNA is filed under the name Panax ginseng (ginseng). Its description in RNAcentral is "long non-coding RNA (PGIN_LNC007867)". The record is from RNAcentral. Lineage: Eukaryota; Viridiplantae; Streptophyta; Magnoliopsida; Apiales; Araliaceae.